Macaca mulatta (Rhesus monkey) is the source of this 515-nucleotide non-coding RNA. Lineage: Eukaryota; Metazoa; Chordata; Mammalia; Primates; Cercopithecidae. The record is from RefSeq and is a predicted model, not a curated record.
GGGAUUCUCCCACUUCGUCCUCUGGAGUAACUGGGAUUACAGGCACAGACUGAGGAAUUGGGCUUGGCCUAAUAAGAAGGACUCUCCUGGGGGAAGGAAACAGAAGAGAAUUUGACAACUACACGGGCUGGCAUAAUGGAUUGGAAUUUAAAGGUUCCACAAAUGUGCCACCAGUUUAUCACAUGGGACAUUUUCUCACAGAGUGAAGCAGGAAGCUGGUGGGCCUGGGUCAGGAAGGCAGAGUGAAAUUUCAUGACGCUUAGAAAACAAAGAUCCUUGCUAAAAUAAAGUGAAUGGUCCUGCAACAAAUACACAACAGGUCUCCCUUCUUAAGAAAUCUGCCAGAUUGUAAAACUGCAUGGGGAGAGAAGCACGAAAGAAUUAAGUUUAAAACUCCAAAGCACAGAAAAAGGCUGAGGAGACAGGGACUCACAAGGCUUUCAAUCAGAAGCCUGAAAUGGUCACACUUGAGCAUGGUGCUGGCUGGAAACGCAGAGUAAAAUGUCUUCUGAUUU